Haliaeetus leucocephalus (bald eagle) is the source of this 1013-nucleotide long non-coding RNA. RefSeq lists it as uncharacterized. The transcript has 4 exons. NCBI's taxonomy places the organism in Eukaryota, Metazoa, Chordata, Aves, Accipitriformes, Accipitridae. The record is from RefSeq and is a predicted model, not a curated record.
UCUUGCCUUAACUACACCUAAAAAGUUGCACUAUUCUGUAGAUGUAACUUCAGCACAUACGAAAAGGCACUUGCUAGUACCACAAAGGAAACCACUCUCAGUAUAAAAAACAAAUUUGUGAAAAUACAGCCAGAGAAUGGAGAAAAAUGUUGUUUGUCAUGCUGGAUCUCAGUGAAUGUCAUGUUGCUUUUACUUCGCCUGUAUAUGGGAAACUCAUAUCCAGAAGCAUCUCAGCCUUCCCACGGAUAUGAACAACGAAGUGGAGUGACCCAAGCUCUCCUUGAAGUCUGUACUGAGAAACAGGAUCAUCCAGGUAGUGUGGAAUGGCAACAGAAAGGAGAGCCUUCUCUAACUGAAGAAGCAACCACCAAACCCUGGACUCCAAGACUCUACUCGUUGAGGGGACUCAAAGCACCGUACCAUCCCGCUACAGUGAUCCGGGAGAUCAUUCACUGAAUUCAACACCCCUAUCUGUGAAGCAACAUGGUUUUGAAGAUGAACCAGGAAUUCUCUCUCAUAGGUUCAGCUUUGACUCACAAAGAUGAUGCUCCCUUGCCUGUGUCAUUUGAAGAAGCAGACCUCGCCAGCACCCUCUGAAUGUGCCUUAUGUGUAUCACGGAGACUGGAUUCCACAGUGAAGCCUGGCUGCUGUUUUGAUGUAAAAAAGUGAACAUCAGCAACAGAAGCUCCUGGAUGCAGCUAGUAAUAUUCCGCCUCCCUGUGACACUUCAGUGGCUAAAAUAUGUACAAAAAAUGUGGAAGGAAAGGGCUGAGUUUCUUUUCUUCCUACAUGGUAGUUAAAAAAUUUGGUCUUUUCAGACAGGACCUCGGCACGAACAACUUUCUGCUUUUGACUUCUGGUUUCACUUCCAUCCCUGUGUCCCCUUACAAACCUGUCCCUUGUUGCUUGCUCAAUGCCUGACUGAAGUGAAAGGGAUUCAGCAUUGCAGUGAGGAUGAAUAAAUUAAUAUCAACAAGGUGCUGAACAGAGUGGUGAUGGUUGUUAGGAAAGA